AGGAAGCAAACAAACUUAAAAUAAAUCAACCGUGAAAUGAGAGGGUUAAAACUUGAUAACAUUAUAACUAGAAAAACACAUAAUAUUCCAGAUCAUGUUGAAAAUAGGGGGAUGAUCAACCUAGUUGAAGUCUUCAAGAUAUUGUCACUCCCUAGCAUAACAACAACAUCUGACAUGGUUGGUCUGUAUGUUGCAUUUUCUUGAACGCACAACAAAGCAAUGUGUAUGCACUUCUCAACUUCACUGCCUUUGAAGGAUUUUUCCAGCAUUGGAUUCCAAACAUUUUCGCUCACAAGUUCUUCAAGCCUACAAAUAUUUGUCAUUAAUUUGUGAAUAAUAUUGUUCUGAACUCCAAAGUUGAAAACAUCAGAUUUCACUGAAAACAAUCCUUGCAUAGCGUACUCAGAGCCAUAUAUCCACUAAUUCAAAACAAUAGAGCUUUGUUUAUUUUAUUUUUUUUUAUCAGCAAUGAAUAAAUAAAAUUAAAGGGGAUACUUCAGGGGUAUCCCAACCCAUAUACAGUAACCAGAAGUGGACUUCCUAUAUCAUCCACAAACGAAACUCUCCUUUAUAGUUGGAGCAGACCAACCUUAAAGUGAGAAAACCAUACCCAAAAAAUAACCAACAUCGGCGACCACCGACUACACAUAUGGAGAACGUCGUUUCAUCAAUCAGCGAUCAUGUUGACAGAACGUCGCUUCAUCAACCUGCAAUCAUGUUGACCUUUGCAUACCUACGGUGACCACCGACUACACACAAUAGAGCUUUGUUAAUUUUUUUCUCUGGAGUAUGCAUUCACAAGUCCUACUGAUAAAAUAUGUUUGGUAUAAGUAAAACUCACUAAGUGCUCAUUACUCGCUUUGUAUUUGCUUGGUUCUGUCCAAUUUCAAAUGCCCUUACCAAUCCAAAUUGCUAGCUUUGAGAUCUCUAUGAAUUACUCUGAGUCGAGAGUCCUCAUGAAGGUAUAAAAGACCUCUUGCUAUUCCACUGAUAAUGCUUAAUCUUAGUUUCCAAUCAAGUUGUUUUCUUUUCUCAUCAUCUGUCAACUCAAAAAGAUAAAAGGGAUUUGAACAUUAGAAGCCAUUUAGUAAAACACCAAAUGCUAAGUAUUUGCCUUACACAGGAAAAAACAUACCAACAGAUAAUAUAGCAUUUCCCCCUUAAAAAUAUGACUUAUAAGUUAUAACAUGGUAUAACUUUAGUUUAGUUUCAUGUUAUGAAAGGAAAACAAAAUGUAUUAACCUCUUUGGGUAUUUUGCAUAAUAAUAUAUAUGUACCAGAACGACAACUAACUAAUUUAUAUUAGAGUGUAAGUUGGAAGUCUUUAAUUUUGUAAAAAUGGGUAAAAGAGCAAGGAGAAAAGAUCCACAUAAGUGUUGAUUAUAUAUAUCUCUCUAUUUGAAAAUAACUAAUUUAUAUUAGAGUGUAAGUUGGAAGUCUUUAAUUUUGUAAAAAUGGGUAAAAGAGAAAGGAGAAAAGAUCCACCUAAGUGUUGUUUAUAUAUAACUCUAUUUGAAAAUAUUUUGAAGUCGAAUAAAAUUUUGUGAAAAACUUAGACAAAGAACUAUUUUCAGAUAGUUAUAAUUCUGAGUUUGAAAACCGAGUUCUUAGAACUUUCUUUUGUAAUCUUGGAAAACAUUGAGUUAAUGAAGAAGUGCUCAUCUAAUUUGAUUUCAGUUUAGGUGUAAUAAUUUGGGUGAUAUACUCUUCCUGUAUUUUGGUUUUUAGGUAGAUUGCAAGUGUUUAUGUUGAAUAGGGUGUUUAGUGUAUGUUAUGUAGUAGGGAGUUCUAUGCCUUUUUUCCUAAAAUUUCACGUAAAAAUCUCGACUGAAAUUGGGACAAAACGCGAUAAAUUUCAAGUCAAACGGAUGAGUAUUCGCUUGGGAAAAAAUCAUGCAGUUUUACACAUAAACAAACCUUCCUUUCAGCCCUGGCAGCGAUGAACAAAAAAUUUGUUGAAAUUUUGGGCUCAAAUCUCAGCCAAAACUCAAUAGACACAAUGAGGAAUGUCUGGUCAAAAUUUCAGACCAAAAUACCCAAGGAGUAAGGCGUAGUAAGUCUCAGACUGAGAGCAAACACAAUUGGUUUUUUGAAAAAUAAAACGUCCUGGCUUUUCUACACCGUAUCUUCUUUUCGUGAUUUGUUUAUGGAUGUGCCUCCUUAAUUGGGUGCAAACAACAUAUGAAAGCACUUGUGUGAACUUUUUCAACGCAAUACGGACCCAGAAUCAAAUUGUAGGAAAUAUGGCCAAAUUUCCCAAGUUUUCGUAGAGAGCCUUGGUUUGCACAAAAUUUUUGAAAAAUUUUCCCGAAAUAGUUUUUUCAUGAAAUUCCACGUAAGAAUAUCAAAUGAAUUUGGGACAAAAUGCGACAAAUUUCAGAUCAAGUAGAUGAAUAUUCACCUGUGAAAAAAAUCAAGCAGUUUCACACACAAACGAACCUUCCUUUCAGCCCUUGCAGUGAUGACCAAAAAUUUUAUUGCAAAUCUUGUGGGACGAAUUUGAAGCUCAAAUCUCAGCCAAAACUCAAUAGAUACAAUGACGAAUGUCUGGUAAAAAUUUCAUACCAAAAUACCCAAGCAGUAAAACGUAGUAAGUCUCAGACUGAGAGCAAACCAAACUAGUUUUCCAAAAACAAAAUGUCCUGGCUUUUCUUCCCCGUAUCUUCUUUUCGUGAUUUGUUUAUGGAUGUGUCUCCUUACCUGCGUGCAAACAACACAUCAAAGCACUUGUGUGAACUUUUCAACGCAAUACGGACCCAGAAUAAAAUUGCAGAAAGUAGGGCCAAAUUUCACAAGUUUUGGUAUUGGUGAGUCUCGGUUUGCACAAAGAUUGUUAAAAAUUGUUUCGAAAUAGUUUUUUCGUGAAAUUCCACGUAAGAAUCUCGACUUAAUUUGGGACAAUACGCGACAAAUUUCAAGUCAAACGGAUGAGUAUUCGGUUCGGCUGGGAAAAUAUCAAGUAGUUUCACACACAAACGAACAUUCCUUUCACCCCUGGCAAUGAUGAACAAAAAAUUUAUUGCAUAUCUUGUGGGACGAAUUUUGGGCUCAAAUCUCAUCCAAAACUCAAUAGACAUAAUGACGAAUGUCUGGUAAAAAUUUCAAACCAAAAUACGCAAGGAGUAAGACGUUGUAAGUCUCAAACUGAGAGCCAACAAAACUGGUUUUCCGAAAAAAAAACGUCCUGGCUUUUCUUCCCCGUAUCUUCUUUUCGUGAUUUGUUUAUGGACAUGCCUCCUUACCUAGGUGUAAACAACAUAUGAAAGUACUUGUGUGAACUUUUUCAAUGCAAUACGGACCCAAAAUAAAAUUGCAUAAAAUAGGGCCAAAUUUCACAAGGUUUCGUAAAGGAUAGCCUUGGUUUGCUAAAAUUUUCUGAAAAAUUAUCCCAAAAUAGUUUUUUCUGAAAUUCCACGUAAGAAUCUCGACUGAAUUUUGGACGAAACACGACAAAUUUCAAGUCAAACGGAUGAAUAUUCGUCUGGGAAAAAAAUCAAGCAGUUUCACACAUUAACGAACCUUCCUUUCUGCCCCGGCAGUGAUGAACAAAAAAUUUAUUGCAAAUCUUGUGGGACGAAUUUGGGGCUCAAGUCUCAGCCAAAACUCAAUAGACACAAUGAAGAAUGUCUCGUAAAAAUUUCAAACCAAAAUACCCAAGGAAUAAAGGGCGUAGUAAGUCUCAGACUGAGAACAAACAAAAUUGAUUUUCCAAAAAUAAAACAUUCUGACUUUCCUUAUAUAUCUCAAUUCCAAGUAGUUGAGUUUGGAUAAUGUUUUGAAAAUAUCUCAACUCCUUAUAUUAAAUCCAAGGAACCUUAAUUUUGUCUGAACUCUCAUAUAAAUUUUUAAUCAUAGUAUAAAUAAUAAAUCAAUAAAUAUCUUAGAUAUACUAAAACCAAAAUUCCUUAAUGAUACAGUUAAAGUUAUGUUAAAAUGGUGACGGAAUUUAUUUAAGGAGGACAAAAUUUAAAGCAUUAAUACGAUAUGUUUCUUUUUAAUAUAUAUGUCUAUAUAGAAUUGAAUUUAAAGUGUAAUAAAAUGAGAAUAUUAUAGAAAAUAAUAUAAAAUUCUUUAGUACAAAUUAAAUUUAAAUUUAUAAGAAUAACUUUGAUUUUUUUUUAAAUGACAGAAUUUCAAAUUUUAUAUAGAAUUUUAAAAUUUUGAUAAUUUAUCAUUUUGACAUUGUUUUGUUCAAAUCAUGAAAGUUGAGUUUUCUGUCAGACGGUAUGUUUUUAGUUAUAUUUUUGUUUUUUUUAUCAAUAAAAAAAUUAAAUGAAUUAAAAAUGGGAGCACUUGACGUUUUGGUUUAGAUAAGUUAUAAGAUUAAAUGCAAUUUUCUCACAAUAACCUGCUCUGUUUAUUCAGAGUUUCAGCCACAACAGAUUAAAGGUGUUGCAUAAUAAAAACUUGAUUAUUUCAAUGAGGAAGCAAACAAACUUAAAAUAAAUCAACCGUGAAAUGAGAGGGUUAAAACUUGAUAACAUUAACUAAAAACACACAUAAUGUUCCAGAUCAUGUUGAAAAUAGGGGGAUGAUCAACCUAGUUGAAGUCUUCAAGAUAUUGUCACUCCCUAGCAUAACAACAUCUGACAUGGUUUGUCUGUAUGUUGCAUUUUCUUGAACACACAACAAAGCAAUGAGUAUGCACUUCUCAACUUCACUGCCUUUGAAGGAUUUUUCCAUCAUUGGAUCCAUCAAUUCCAAACAUUUUCCCUCACACCAUGUUCUCCAAGCCUACAAGUAUUUUUCAUUAAUUUGUGAAUAAUAU
RNAcentral lists this long non-coding RNA (4768 nucleotides) under Phaseolus vulgaris (common bean). Its description in RNAcentral is "long non-coding RNA (PVUL_LNC000441)". The record is from RNAcentral. Lineage: Eukaryota; Viridiplantae; Streptophyta; Magnoliopsida; Fabales; Fabaceae.